ACGGAAGGCAGCAGUGGGGGAUAUUGCACAAUGGAGGAAACUCUGAUGCAGCAACGCCGCGUGAGGGAAGAAGGUCUUCGGAUUGUAAACCUCUGUCCUUGGAGAAGAUAAUGACGGUAUCCAGGGAGGAAGCUCCGGCUAACUACGUGCCAGCAGCCGCGGUAAUACGUAGGGAGCAAGCGUUGUCCGGAUUUACUGGGUGUAAAGGGUGCGUAGGCGGCUUAGCAAGUCAGGCGUGAAAACUAUGGGCUUAACCCAUAGCCUGCGUUUGAAACUGUUGAGCUUGAGUGAAGUAGAGGCAGAUGGAAUUCCCGGUGUAGCGGUGGAAUGCGUAGAGAUCGGGAGGAACACCAGUGGCGAAGGCGGUCUGCUGGGCUUUAACUGACGCUGAGGCACGAAAGUGUGGGUAGCAAACAGGAUUAGAUACCCUGGUA
This 434-nucleotide ribosomal RNA is filed under the name uncultured Clostridium sp. Its description in RNAcentral is "partial 16S ribosomal RNA". It matches the Rfam family "Bacterial small subunit ribosomal RNA", at positions 341 to 792 of the family's 1533-position model. Lineage: Bacteria; Bacillati; Bacillota; Clostridia; Eubacteriales; Clostridiaceae. The record is from RNAcentral.